GGCCCUUUAGCUCAGAUGGUAGAGCAGAGGACUGAAAAUCCUCGUGUCCCCAGUUCAAUUCUGGGAGGGGCCA
Non-coding RNA from Deltaproteobacteria bacterium GWA2_65_63, 73 nucleotides. The record is from Rfam. Lineage: Bacteria; Deltaproteobacteria.